RNAcentral lists this transfer RNA (58 nucleotides) under Salmo salar (Atlantic salmon). It matches the Rfam family "tRNA", at positions 8 to 63 of the family's 71-position model. From Rfam's summary of the family: Transfer RNA (tRNA) molecules are approximately 80 nucleotides in length. Their secondary structure includes four short double-helical elements and three loops (D, anti-codon, and T loops). Lineage: Eukaryota; Metazoa; Chordata; Actinopteri; Salmoniformes; Salmonidae. The record is from Rfam by way of RNAcentral. RNAcentral also lists the same sequence under 1 other name.
UGGCUCAGAUGGUAGAGCAUGGCACUUUCAAUGCCAGGGUUGUGGGUUUGAUUCCCAC